GUGAAUCAUCGAAUUUUUGAACGCAAAUUGCACUCUCUGGCAUUCCGGAGAGUAUGCCUGUUUGAGGGUCAGUAUAAUCAAAAUCGGAGUGAUGCUAUUUGGGUGACGCACCGGAGUUUGGGUCAUCUUAACUCUUUUUUUUAAGAGACCUAAAAUUAACAUUCUUUUUUGUUUACUUUUGAGACGUACAUAAUUUUUUUUUUUUCGUCUAUCCUGGUGGCAAAACUUUUAUUAGAUAGUGAUUCACGUUAAUUGGU
Molecule: unclassified non-coding RNA, 257 nt
Filed under: Rhizophagus clarus
Lineage: Eukaryota; Fungi; Glomeromycota; Glomeromycetes; Glomerales; Glomeraceae
Description: partial contains 5.8S ribosomal RNA and internal transcribed spacer 2
Rfam family: 5.8S ribosomal RNA (bases 1-71)
Source: RNAcentral